RNAcentral lists this non-coding RNA (270 nucleotides) under Gemmatimonas sp. SG8_38_2. RNAcentral's name for it is "partial 23S ribosomal RNA". It matches the Rfam family "Bacterial large subunit ribosomal RNA", at positions 2658 to 2925 of the family's 2925-position model. Lineage: Bacteria; Pseudomonadati; Gemmatimonadota; Gemmatimonadia; Gemmatimonadales; Gemmatimonadaceae. The record is from RNAcentral.
AUACUUGAGGGGAGUUGACCAUAGUACGAGAGGACCUGGUUGAACGUAUCCCUAGUGUUCCGGUUGUUUCGCCAGAAGCAUAGCCGGGUAGCUACAUACGGAACCGAUAACCGCUGAAAGCAUCUAAGCGGGAAGCGGGCCCCAAGAUGAGGUAUCCCUGGACUUCGGUCCCUAAAGGCCACUUGUAGACUACGAGUUUGAUAGGCUGGGUGUGGAAGCGUGGCAACACGUGGAGCUGACCAGUACUAAUCGGCCGUGAGGCUUGACCUU